GGUGCUAUACAUGCAGUCGAGCGAACGGAUUAAGAGCUUGCUCUUAUAGAAGUUAGCGGCGGACGGGUGAGUAACACGUGGGUAACCUGCCCAUAAGACUGGGAUAACUCCGGGAAACCGGGGCUAAUACCGGAUAACAUCUUGCACCGCAUGGUGCAAGAUUGAAAGGCGGCUUCGGCUGUCACUUAUGGAUGGACCCGCGUCGCAUUAGCUAGUUGGUGAGGUAACGGCUCACCAAGGCGACGAUGCGUAGCCGACCUGAGAGGGUGAUCGGCCACACUGGGACUGAGACACGGCCCAGACUCCUACGGGAGGCAGCAGUAGGGAAUCUUCCGCAAUGGACGAAAGUCUGACGGAGCAACGCCGCGUGAGCAAUGAAGGCCUUCGGGUCGUAAAGCUCUGUUGUUGGGGAAAAACAAGUAUGAGUUGAAUAAGCUCGUGCCUUGACGGGCCCUAACCGGAAAAGCCACGCCUAAAUACGUGCCACCAUCUGCGGGAAUACCAAAGGGGGGAAGCGUUAUCCGGAAUUUUUGGGCGUUAAGCCGGAGUAGACGGUUUCUUAAGUCUGAUGGGAAGGCCCCCGGCUCUUCCGUGGAGGUUCAUUGUUACCUGCGAGAUCUUGAGUGC
RNAcentral lists this ribosomal RNA (627 nucleotides) under Bacillus cytotoxicus. RNAcentral describes it as "bacterial SSU rRNA". It matches the Rfam family "Bacterial small subunit ribosomal RNA", at positions 44 to 649 of the family's 1533-position model. The record is from RNAcentral. Lineage: Bacteria; Bacillati; Bacillota; Bacilli; Caryophanales; Bacillaceae.